AGUGUUCUUGUAGUUAC
Molecule: microRNA, 17 nt
Filed under: Chiloscyllium plagiosum (whitespotted bambooshark)
Lineage: Eukaryota; Metazoa; Chordata; Chondrichthyes; Orectolobiformes; Hemiscylliidae
Description: microRNA PC-3p-181479_3
Source: RNAcentral